This 1093-nucleotide long non-coding RNA is filed under the name Ursus maritimus (polar bear). RNAcentral describes it as "lncRNA (ENSUMAG00000009619.1)". Lineage: Eukaryota; Metazoa; Chordata; Mammalia; Carnivora; Ursidae. The record is from RNAcentral.
AUUUUUUAUUUUUUUAUCUUUUAAAGAUUUUAUUUAUUUAUUUGACAGAGAGCGCUCGAGCACAAGCAGGAGGAGUGACAGAGGGAGAAGCAGACUCCCCGCUGAGCAGGCAGCCCGAUGCAGGGCUCGAUCCCAGGACCCCGGGAUCAUGACCUGAGCCGAAGGCAGGCGCUUCACCGACUGAGUCACCCAGGCGCCCCACAGUUAAGGAUGUUCAGAGGAAGAGGAUAGUGAGAAUACAUACGACGCAUUCCCCCCUGUCCGUAAGCGCAGGGGUGCGUGCGGGCAAGGAUGCAUCCCGGCCGGUCACACAAGGGUGGCCGAAGGCCAGUCUCGCCUGCGCUGAUCUCAGUCAGAGCCGAAUAGGAUUCCCUGUUCCGGAUGGGCACAGGCGGCAAUCCGGUCACCCGCAGAAGGAGGUCACGUGCGUCCGAGGUUUGGUGACGAUGAAGCUGCUGUCAACACCCGUAUGCGUGACAGCGGGAGCUGACGGCAAGGGGGUGCUGGUUGGUCGGCUCUUCCCUAACCGUCCUGCAAAGCUGCGGCCCCAUUUGGCAUUCCCACCAGCAAUGAGGGAGAGUUCCUGCCUCUCUGCGGUUUUAUUAUUUUUUUACAUUUUUUAUUUUUUUAAGGAUUUUAUUCAUCCAUUUGAGAGAGAGUGAGAGCUAGAGAGCACACACAGAGGGAGAGAGAGAACCAGACUCUCCGCUGAGCAGGGAGCCUGACACGGGGCUCAAGACCAGGACCCUGGGAUCACGACCUGAGCUGAAGGCAGAUGCCCAACCGAGACCCCCAGGUGCCCCAUAGGGUUAUUUAUUUAUUGCCAUGAACGUGUGUUUACUGUACAGAAGCAAGGAACUCAGGAGGACCGGGGACAUUGGCGGCUGAUUUCCGGCUCCACAGGCUCUUCUUACUUUGGGCUCCUGGGGAGGGGAGAGGGGCAGAGGACACAGAAGCGGACGGCCAGGCCACUGGCCACCCGCCGGGCCACCAACAAGGGAAACUGGAAAAGCAGGUUGGCUGAGGGCGGGAAAGCAGGACCUCAGGCUCUGCGGCCUUCAGUCAGGUUUGGCUUGGAGACAGAAACCGCCAU